CCUACGGGAGGCAGCAGUGGGGAAUAUUGCACAAUGGGGGAAACCCUGAUGCAGCGACGCCGCGUGAAGGAAGAAGUAUCUCGGUAUGUAAACUUCUAUCAGCAGGGAAGAUAGUGACGGUACCUGACUAAGAAGCCCCGGCUAACUACGUGCCAGCAGCCGCGGUAAUACGUAGGGGGCAAGCGUUAUCCGGAUUUACUGGGUGUAAAGGGAGCGUAGACGGUGUGGCAAGUCUGAUGUGAAAGGCAUGGGCUCAACCUGUGGACUGCAUUGGAAACUGUCAUACUUGAGUGCCGGAGGGGUAAGCGGAAUUCCUAGUGUAGCGGUGAAAUGCGUAGAUAUUAGGAGGAACACCAGUGGCGAAGGCGGCUUACUGGACGGUAACUGACGUUGAGGCUCGAAAGCGUGGGGAGCAAACAGGAUUAGAUACCCCAGUAGUCC
RNAcentral lists this ribosomal RNA (441 nucleotides) under uncultured Blautia sp. Its description in RNAcentral is "bacterial SSU rRNA". It matches the Rfam family "Bacterial small subunit ribosomal RNA", at positions 338 to 796 of the family's 1533-position model. Lineage: Bacteria; Bacillati; Bacillota; Clostridia; Lachnospirales; Lachnospiraceae. The record is from RNAcentral.